RNAcentral lists this ribosomal RNA (137 nucleotides) under uncultured bacterium. RNAcentral's name for it is "partial 16S ribosomal RNA". It matches the Rfam family "Bacterial small subunit ribosomal RNA", at positions 355 to 509 of the family's 1533-position model. The record is from RNAcentral.
UGGGGAAUAUUGCACAAUGGGGGAAACCCGUGAUGCAGCGACGCCGCGUGAGCGAUGAAGUAUUUCGGUAUGUAAAGCUCUAUCAGCAGGGAAGAAAAUGACGGUACCUGACUAAGAAGCCCGGCUAACUACGUGCC